This 253-nucleotide ribosomal RNA is filed under the name uncultured bacterium. RNAcentral's name for it is "partial 16S ribosomal RNA". It matches the Rfam family "Bacterial small subunit ribosomal RNA", at positions 524 to 776 of the family's 1533-position model. The record is from RNAcentral.
UACAGAGGUCUCAAGCGUUGUUCGGAUUCAUUGGGCGUAAAGGGUGCGUAGGCGGCGCGGUAAGUCGGGUGUGAAAUCUCGGAGCUUAACUCCGAAACUGCAUUCGAUACUGCCGUGCUUGAGGACUGGAGAGGAGACUGGAAUUUACGGUGUAGCGGUGAAAUGCGUAGAUAUCGUAAGGAAGACCAGUGGCGAAAGCGACUUCCUGGACCAAUACUGACGCUCAUGUGCGAAAGCGUGGGGAGCAAACAGG